GCUGAGGGAGUUGCGGGAAUCGUUAAUAAUUUUCACAGUGGCUCGUCAUUAACGAUGGGUACAAUCCCACAUUUGAAAAAAUGAAAAUUGAACUUGCGCAGAUUAUUCUGUUAAUAAAUGGACAAUAUGAAUAUGAAUGGAUAGUAUGAACGUGUUAAAUCUGCAUUUUUAAAGACGACAAAUCCAAAAGA
This is a long non-coding RNA of Bradysia coprophila, 191 nucleotides long. The record is from RefSeq and is a predicted model, not a curated record. NCBI's taxonomy places the organism in Eukaryota, Metazoa, Arthropoda, Insecta, Diptera, Sciaridae.